CUUUGACAUGAGAACACCCCUGCGGCUUGGGAAAACACUGACUGUAGCAGGAGCCUUGCUCUGAAGACUUAACUACUCCAUGUAAGGCUCUAUGGUGCAGGAGAAUUUCCUUUUGGUCCUGGGGAUUUUUCUUUUUUGUUUUUACCCAGGGGAGAAAUGAAAAACUAGACUAGCAUCAUGGCAGGAACAAAGCUGCUGCUGGCUGCUGUGCCAUUCCCAGAGCUAGAGGAUCACAAGGCCAGAAGGAAAUGUUGUGAUCAUUUCUGUAGGAUCUUCUGUAUGACACAGGCCAUAUAAUUUCACCAAGCAAUUCCUGCACCUACCCAACAACUUUUGGUUUAGCUAAAGCAUAUCUUUUAGAAAGACAUCCAAUCCUGAUUUACACAGAGUGCAUCCAGAACUUCCGCAUAACCUGCUCAAGAUCAACUUUUAACCACAGAUGACAACCUGAAGGAAUUUGAACAUUUGAUUUGGAAGCAAAGCCCUGUGUGUCAAUAAAAAA
Long non-coding RNA from Mauremys reevesii (Reeves's turtle), 502 nucleotides. RefSeq lists it as uncharacterized. The transcript is spliced from 3 exons. NCBI's taxonomy places the organism in Eukaryota, Metazoa, Chordata, Testudines, Geoemydidae. The record is from RefSeq and is a predicted model, not a curated record.